RNAcentral lists this ribosomal RNA (497 nucleotides) under uncultured bacterium. RNAcentral's name for it is "partial 16S ribosomal RNA". It matches the Rfam family "Bacterial small subunit ribosomal RNA", at positions 28 to 507 of the family's 1533-position model. The record is from RNAcentral.
GAUGAACGCUGGCGGCGUGCCUAAUACAUGUAAGUCGAGCGAACGGACGAGAAGCUUGCUUCUCUGAUGUUAGCGGCGGACGGGUGAGUAACACGUGGAUAACCUACCUAUAAGACUGGGAUAACUUCGGGAAACCGUAGCUAAUACCGGAUAAUAUUUUGAACCGCAUGGUUCAAAAGUGAAAGACGGUCUUGCUGUCACUUAUAGAUGGAUCCGCGCUGCAUUAGCUAGUUGGUAAGGUAACGGCUUACCAAGGCAACGAUGCAUAGCCGACCUGAGAGGGUGAUCGGCCACACUGGAACUGAGACACGGUCCAGACUCCUACGGGAGGCAGCAGUAGGGAAUCUUCCGCAAUGGGCGAAAGCCUGACGGAGCAACGCCGCGUGAGUGAUGAAGGUCUUCGGAUCGUAAAACUCUGUUAUUAGGGAAGAACAUAUGUGUAAGUAACUGUGCACAUCUUGACGGUACCUAAUCGGAAAGCCACGGCUAACUACGUG